AUACGUAGGGUGCGAGCGUUGUCCGGAAUUACUGGGCGUAAAGAGCUCGUAGGUGGUUUGUCGCGUCGUCUGUGAAAUUCCGGGGCUUAACUCCGGGCGUGCAGGCGAUACGGGCAUAACUUGAGUACUGUAGGGGUGACUGGAAUUCCUGGUGUAGCGGUGAAAUGCGCAGAUAUCAGGAGGAACACCGGUGGCGAAGGCGGGUCUCUGGGCAGUAACUGACGCUGAGGAGCGAAAGCAUGGGUAGCGAACAGGAUUAGAUACCCCGGUAGUCCAUGCCGUAAACGGUGGGCGCUAGGUGUAGGGGUCUUCCACGACUUCUGUGCCGUAGCUAACGCAUUAAGCGCCCCGCCUGGGGAGUACGGCCGCAAGGCUAAAACUCAAAUGAAUUGACGGGG
RNAcentral lists this ribosomal RNA (398 nucleotides) under uncultured bacterium. RNAcentral describes it as "partial 16S ribosomal RNA". It matches the Rfam family "Bacterial small subunit ribosomal RNA", at positions 523 to 918 of the family's 1533-position model. The record is from RNAcentral.